UACGUAAGGGCCAAGCGUUGUCCGGAUUUAUUGGGCGUAAAGAGCUCGUAGGCAGUUCGGCAAGUCAGCUGUGAAAUCUCCACGCUCAACGUGGAGGGAUCAGCUGAUACUGCUGUGACUUGAGUCCAAUAAAAAAGUGUGGAAUUCCCAAUGUAGCAGUGAAAUACGCAGAUAUCGGGAGGAACACCAGUAGCGAAGGCGGCACUCUGGGCCGGUACUGACGCUGAGGAGCGAAAGCGUGGGGAGCAAACAGG
RNAcentral lists this ribosomal RNA (254 nucleotides) under uncultured bacterium. Its description in RNAcentral is "partial 16S ribosomal RNA". It matches the Rfam family "Bacterial small subunit ribosomal RNA", at positions 524 to 776 of the family's 1533-position model. The record is from RNAcentral.